UAGAGUUUGAUCAUGGCUCAGGAUGAACGCUAGCUACAGGCUUAACACAUGCAAGUCGAGGGGCAGCAUUUCAGUUUGCUUGCAAACUGGAGAUGGCGACCGGCGCACGGGUGAGUAACACGUAUCCAACCUGCCGAUAACUCGGGGAUAGCCUUUCGAAAGAAAGAUUAAUACCCGAUGGCAUAAUUAGACCGCAUGGUCUUAUUAUUAAAGAAUUUCGGUUAUCGAUGGGGAUGCGUUCCAUUAGGCAGUUGGUGAGGUAACGGCUCACCAAACCUUCGAUGGAUAGGGGUUCUGAGAGGAAGGUCCCCCACAUUGGAACUGAGACACGGUCCAAACUCCUACGGGAGGCAGCAGUGAGGAAUAUUGGUCAAUGGACGAGAGUCUGAACCARCCAAGUAGCGUGAAGGAUGACUGCCCUAUGGGUUGUAAACUUCUUUUAUAUGGGAAUAAAGUUUUCCACGUGUGGAAUUUUGUAUGUACCAUAUGAAUAAGGAUCGGCUAACUCCGUGCCAGCAGCCGCGGUAAUACGGAGGAUCCGAGCGUUAUCCGGAUUUAUUGGGUUUAAAGGGAGCGUAGGUGGACAGUUAAGUCAGUUGUGAAAGUUUGCGGCUCAACCGUAAAAUUGCAGUUGAUACUGGCUGUCUUGAGUACAGUAGAGGUGGGCGGAAUUCGUGGUGUAGCGGUGAAAUGCUUAGAUAUCACGAAGAACUCCGAUUGCGAAGGCAGCUCACUGGACUGCAACUGACACUGAUGCUCGAAAGUGUGGGUAUCAAACAGGAUUAGAUACCCUGGUAGUCCACACAGUAAACGAUGAAUACUCGCUGUUUGCGAUAUACAGUAAGCGGCCAAGCGAAAGCAUUAAGUAUUCCACCUGGGGAGUACGCCGGCAACGGUGAAACUCAAAGGAAUUGACGGGGGCCCGCACAAGCGGAGGAACAUGUGGUUUAAUUCGAUGAUACGCGAGGAACCUUACCCGGGCUUAAAUUGCAUUUGAAUAAUCUGGAAACAGGUUAGCCGCAAGGCAAAUGUGAAGGUGCUGCAUGGUUGUCGUCAGCUCGUGCCGUGAGGUGUCGGCUUAAGUGCCAUAACGAGCGCAACCCUUAUCUUUAGUUACUAACAGGUCAUGCUGAGGACUCUAGAGAGACUGCCGUCGUAAGAUGUGAGGAAGGUGGGGAUGACGUCAAAUCAGCACGGCCCUUACGUCCGGGGCUACACACGUGUUACAAUGGGGGGUACAGAAGGCAGCUACCUGGUGACAGGAUGCUAAUCCCAAAAGCCUCUCUCAGUUCGGAUCGAAGUCUGCAACCCGACUUCGUGAAGCUGGAUUCGCUAGUAAUCGCGCAUCAGCCAUGGCGCGGUGAAUACGUUCCCGGGCCUUGUACACACCGCCCGU
Molecule: ribosomal RNA, 1396 nt
Filed under: Bacteroides thetaiotaomicron
Lineage: Bacteria; Pseudomonadati; Bacteroidota; Bacteroidia; Bacteroidales; Bacteroidaceae
Description: bacterial SSU rRNA
Rfam family: Bacterial small subunit ribosomal RNA
Source: RNAcentral